RNAcentral lists this ribosomal RNA (263 nucleotides) under uncultured archaeon. RNAcentral's name for it is "partial 16S ribosomal RNA". It matches the Rfam family "Archaeal small subunit ribosomal RNA", at positions 719 to 982 of the family's 1478-position model. The record is from RNAcentral.
AGUCACUGACAUUAGAUACCCGGGUAGUCCCAGCCGUAAACAAUGUGCGUUAGGUGUGUCGGUAACCACGCGUUACUGAUGCGCCGAAGAGAAAUCGUGAAACGCACCACCUGGGAAGUACGGUCGCAAGGCUGAAACUUAAGGGAAUUGGCGGGGAGCACCACAACAGGUGGAGCCUGCGGUUUAAUUGGAUUCAACGCCGGACAUCUCACCGGAUAAGACAGCUGAAUGAUUGUCAAUCUGAAGGUUUACGUGACUAGCUG